UACGAAGGGGGCUAGCGUUGUUCGGAAUUACUGGGCGUAAAGGGCGCGUAGGCUGUGCUGUAAGUCAGGCGUGAAAGCCCCGGGCUCAACCUGGGAAUUGCGCUUGAUACUGCGGCGCUGGAAGGUGGGAGAGGAUGGCGGAAUUCCCAGUGUAGAGGUGAAAUUCGUAGAUAUUGGGAAGAACACCGGUGGCGAAGGCGGCCAUCUGGCCCAUUUUUUGGACGCUGAGGCGCGAAAGCGUGGGGAGCAAACAGG
Molecule: ribosomal RNA, 255 nt
Filed under: uncultured bacterium
Lineage: Bacteria
Description: partial 16S ribosomal RNA
Rfam family: Bacterial small subunit ribosomal RNA
Source: RNAcentral